Thalassophryne amazonica is the source of this 292-nucleotide long non-coding RNA. RefSeq lists it as uncharacterized. NCBI's taxonomy places the organism in Eukaryota, Metazoa, Chordata, Actinopteri, Batrachoidiformes, Batrachoididae. The record is from RefSeq and is a predicted model, not a curated record. The transcript is spliced from 2 exons.
AAAGUUCUGCAGCAGCAGCUGGACAGCGUCCAAGUGGCCGUUCCUGGCAGCUAAGUGCAGGGGAGUGUCACCGCUCUGACAGGAGGGAGGGAAGGAGACAACACGUAUCAAAGAACGUUUGUGCAGUCUCAAAGGAGUGUCACACAGCAACGUGCACCUUUAUGGCGUCACCACACACACCUUAUUGGGCCUCAUAGUUGCCAUGGUAACAUAGUCGUUAAUCAUCACCUCUAACAGUUCAACACAGCCGUUCUCUGCAGCCAGGGCAAAGGGUCGGUGUCCAGACUGAAAU